Molecule: ribosomal RNA, 514 nt
Filed under: Lyngbya majuscula SJILZ07
Lineage: Bacteria; Bacillati; Cyanobacteriota; Cyanophyceae; Oscillatoriales; Microcoleaceae
Description: bacterial SSU rRNA
Rfam family: Bacterial small subunit ribosomal RNA
Source: RNAcentral
AAUGCGGAAAGGAUGAGUUUGUGGGCCGGUACGAUCAUUCGCCUCAUUGGCACCGAUACACCCCCCAUACUCCUACGGGAGGCCCCAGCGGGGAAUUUUCCUCAAUGGGCUUAAGCCUGACGGAGGGGACCGCAUGGGGGAGGAAAGCCUUUGGGUUGUAAACCCCUUUUCUCAGGGAAGAAGCAAGUGACGGUACCUGAGGAAUCAGCCUCGGCUAACUCCGUGCCAGCAGCCGCGGUAAUACGGAGGAGGCAAGCGUUAUCCGGAAUGAUUGGGCGUAAAGCGUUCGUAGGUGGCAACUUUAGUCUUUUGUCAAAGACCGGAGCUCAACUCCGGAAAGGCAGUGGAAACUGGGUAGCUGGAGUGCGGUAGGGGCAGAGGGAAUUCCCGGUGUAGCGGUGAAAUGCGUAGAGAUCGGGAAGAACACCGGUGGCGAAAGCGCUCUGCUGGGCCGCAACUGACACUGAGGGACGAAAGCUAGGGGAGCGAAUGGGAUUAGAUACCCCAGUAGUCA